Austrofundulus limnaeus is the source of this 1162-nucleotide long non-coding RNA. RefSeq lists it as uncharacterized. The transcript is spliced from 3 exons. NCBI's taxonomy places the organism in Eukaryota, Metazoa, Chordata, Actinopteri, Cyprinodontiformes, Rivulidae. The record is from RefSeq and is a predicted model, not a curated record.
GCUAGUGCCGCUGACGCUCCAGCAGGUCCCAGAUAUGCCACCUACUGACCUCGCUGUCACUCCCUUCUCCUCGUGUUGCGCGGAUGAAUGCUGGUCCAACUGAUAAUGAUGAGGCAGGAUGAGCCAUUGGGCAGAUGGUAAGGGGAAGUCCCAGGAGAGGACCCAGCAUGCACACAUACACAGAUAAAGACACCGGCCUCCUGGUUCCGUAAAUGCACACGCACUGUAAGUGUGCACAAAGACACCAGACCCCUGUUAUGUAAUCCAGCAGUUCCUCUCCCUCCUCGGACUGAGAGAGGCUCAGUUUUGGGCCGCCUCAGCAAGAAAAACAAAGUCAUCAGUCUUCAUAUAAAGCUGUCUUUUCAAUAGGACACAUGCCACUGGAUCAGUUUGGAUCCUGCGCGUCACAAUGAAGCCUCUCUGAAACGCCACAAUGAGGCACAUGACAAACCAGCGCGUUUCCUUUAGCGCUCGAUUGAAAGUAAGGUACAACUUUAUAAUGCAUGCAGCUUUUUUAUCCUUACUUAACCAUAAAUAAUUGGUUAGUUAACCUUAAAAACAUCAAUUAAGGAUGAUUCCAAAACCAACAAACUCAUGAACUAAAUAUUCUAUGUAAUGUUUAUAGUUCAGUCUGAAAUCCACAGGCAAAAAUAAACUUGUGGCUCUUCAGGGUUUCGUCUACAUUAACAAAUACGUAAAAAAGAAACAUUUGAUAAAGGCUAAAAAGACCUGACUAACUACUAGCCACUGCCUUAAUUACUGAUGCACUGCAGGGUUAGUAUAGUCCAGGGGUCUGUAAGCUGCAGCACUGGCUCUUUGGWCCCUCUGCAGUGGUUUUUUAAAAAUGUGACCAAACAUAACAUUUUUGUUUGUUUGUUUGUUUUUAUACUCACAAUUUGUAUGCAAAUGUGUCAUCAAAAAUGCAAAAAGUAAAUCAUGUUAGCUUGUAGUGUACUUACAUAAUCCAACUUCUUUCUAUGGUCUUUCUCUCAAAUCAAUCAGAAUUACCUUGAAGAAUUUGAAGACUACAUAAUAAUAAGCAUUAGUAAAAAACAUGCCUGAAUAUUUCUGUUGUACUCAGUAUAAACUGUAUAGUCUUUUUCUUGUUUACAUGAAUGUAGUAUUUUCAUUUGUCCUCAUGUGUAAAAAUAACAAUAAAUAA